GAAUCUGUGACUAUGAGACACUUGAGGGAAGGACAUAUGAGGGAAGGACAUAUACUAAUAGUAGUGACCAGAAGAUUUCACGAUCCUGGGUGCCCAGGGCCCUUUAACACCUCUGCAAACACAGUGGAAGAAGGAGGUAGAAGACACAAUGUCAAAAUAAUGUGAUAUGAGAAAGACUUGACUAGCCACUGCUGGGGAGGCCACCAGCCAAGGAAUGUUGGAAACUGGAAAUGGAUUUCCCUCUAGAUUCCCCAGUAAGAAAUGUAGCCGUGCCAACACCUUGACUUUCAGACUUCUG
This is a long non-coding RNA of Panthera uncia (snow leopard), 298 nucleotides long. RefSeq lists it as uncharacterized. The record is from RefSeq and is a predicted model, not a curated record. The transcript has 3 exons. NCBI's taxonomy places the organism in Eukaryota, Metazoa, Chordata, Mammalia, Carnivora, Felidae.